AGUGAACGCUGGCGGUAGGCCUAACACAUGCAAGUCGAACGGCAGCACAGUAAGAGCUUGCUCUUACGGGUGGCGAGUGGCGGACGGGUGAGGAAUACAUCGGAAUCUACUUUUUCGUGGGGGAUAACGUAGGGAAACUUACGCUAAUACCGCAUACGACCUACGGGUGAAAGCAGGGGAUCUUCGGACCUUGCGCGAUUGAAUGAGUCGAUGUCGGAUUAGCUAGUUGGCGGGGUAAAGGCCCACCAAGGCGACGAUCCGUAGCUGGUCUGAGAGGAUGAUCAGCCACACUGGAACUGAGACACGGUCCAGACUCCUACGGGAGGCAGCAGUGGGGAAUAUUGGACAAAGGGCGCAAGCCUGAUCCAGCCAUACCGCGUGGGUGAAGAAGGCCUUCGGGUUGUAAAGCCCUUUUGUUGGGAAAGAAAAGCAGCAGGUUAAUACCCCGCUGUUCUGACGGUACCCAAAGAAUAAGCACCGGCUAACUUCGUG
Molecule: ribosomal RNA, 492 nt
Filed under: uncultured bacterium
Lineage: Bacteria
Description: partial 16S ribosomal RNA
Rfam family: Bacterial small subunit ribosomal RNA
Source: RNAcentral